Eleginops maclovinus (Patagonian blennie) is the source of this 852-nucleotide long non-coding RNA. RefSeq lists it as uncharacterized. The record is from RefSeq and is a predicted model, not a curated record. The transcript has 4 exons. Lineage: Eukaryota; Metazoa; Chordata; Actinopteri; Perciformes; Eleginopidae.
GCGGCUCAUGGUCUUCAUCUUCUGCUUCACCGGUGUACGCUGGGCGCCACCUGUAGAUCAGAGACGGGAAAUGAUGAGAAAAAGCUGCUGCUUUCCCUCAGGUCGAAUUCUUAAAAAAACUGGAAUUAUUUUUCUAUUUUCUCUGCUUUUACAAAUAUCACACAUUUGAUCAAAAUAUAUGCAAAAAACUGAGUUGAGGUUUUCUCACGUUUCUUCUUGCCCCUCUUGGCAUCUGCCCCCCUGGAUGUUUGAUACAAGUCAGCCAGACCACCGAUCAGCUCCUGCUGUACGACAGACAACUCCCCCUCUUCUUUUGGCUCUGGCACUGCAUCCAGCAACCUGCAACAAAGAAGUGAAGUCUUACCUCAUCGACUCCAUUAAAUGGGAACUCACUCCCGACUGGUCUGACUGAGGGAACCAACACUCCAACACGCCUGUUGUCAGCGGGCAAUGGCUGACUUCCUGCUGAGCCCACUCAGGUACCUUAUGAUCCUCAGUGUCACAAUCCUCCGCCAUGAUGUCAUACACUACACCCAGGACACUGCUCACAACAUCGGGCAGUUCAGCCAAGGUUUCUGCUGUGGCAGGGGCAAUGAUUUCACUGGUUAGGAUCUGCUCGUUCUGGGCGACUCCAGACUGGAGAAUGAGCACGAGACGACAGCUCCAUCAGGAGGUGCUGGAGGGCAGCAGCAGCUCCCUGCUCCUCACUGCCGCUUGAGCACUGAAGCAGCCACGACUCUGUGGAGGUCUGCGUCAGUGAAGAGGCAUCCCAGUCCUGCAGAACUGCUUUCAGACACACUUCCACCCACUCUGGGAGAAGCCGGUGUCUGCGAGACACUGGCUCAAUCAUGA